Molecule: ribosomal RNA, 207 nt
Filed under: uncultured bacterium
Lineage: Bacteria
Description: partial 16S ribosomal RNA
Rfam family: Bacterial small subunit ribosomal RNA
Source: RNAcentral
CGUGUAGGCGGUUUCGUAAGUCGGAUGUGAAAGCCCCUGGCUCAACUGGGAGAGGCCAUUCGAUACUGCGAGACUUGAGGUCGGGAGAGGGACGUGGAAUUCCCGGUGUAGUGGUGGAAUGCGUAGAUAUCGGGAGGAACACCAGUGGCGAAGGCGGCGUCCUGGCCCGCACCUGACGCUAAGACGCGAAAGCGUGGGUAGCGAACG